GAGUUUGAUCAUGGCUCAGAUUGAACGCUGGCGGCAUGCUUUACACAUGCAAGUCGAACGGCAGCACGAGUGCUUGCACUUGGUGGCGAGUGGCGAACGGGUGAGUAAUGCAUUGGAACGUGCCUUGUAUUGGGGGAUAACUGAGCGAAAGCUUAGCUAAUACCGCAUACGCCCUGAGGGGGAAAGCUGGGGAUCGUUUGACCUGGCGAUAUAAGAGCGGCCAAUGUCUGAUUAGCUAGUUGGUGAGGUAAAGGCUUACCAAGGCGACGAUCAGUAGCGGGUCUGAGAGGAUGAUCCGCCACACUGGGACUGAGAGACGGCCCAGACUCCUACGGGAGGCAGCAGUGGGGAAUUUUGGACAAUGGGGGGAACCCUGAUCCAGCCACGCCGCGUGUCUGAAGAAGGCCUUCGGGUUGUAAAGGACUUUUGUUGGGGAGCAAAGGUAUCUGGUUAAGAGCUGGAGAUUAUGAGAGA
Molecule: ribosomal RNA, 474 nt
Filed under: Aquaspirillum sp. canine oral taxon 091
Lineage: Bacteria; Pseudomonadati; Pseudomonadota; Betaproteobacteria; Neisseriales; Aquaspirillaceae
Description: bacterial SSU rRNA
Rfam family: Bacterial small subunit ribosomal RNA
Source: RNAcentral